Molecule: long non-coding RNA, 1004 nt
Filed under: Cercocebus atys (sooty mangabey)
Lineage: Eukaryota; Metazoa; Chordata; Mammalia; Primates; Cercopithecidae
Description: lncRNA (ENSCATG00000045892.1)
Source: RNAcentral
AUGAACAUCUGGAUUAAGGAGGUUAAGAAAAGCCUUGAAAAGCGACAAGGACCACAGCUUUCCUUAGCUCUGAACUGGCUGAUGAACUCCCAAUGCCCUUUUGCAGGGACCCCACCGCCUUGGUGUGCAGACCCGAAAGGCUGUGGAAGUUGUCUCGUGGCGCCAUCUGGUGGAAUUUCCGGACAGGAGCAGGAACUCCCUCUGGCAAAUAACACUACAAAUGGAUUCAUCUGCCCUCCUGCUGCCGCUUUGAGCCCAACGAAUCCUGAGAAAUCACUUUCUUCUGAUGAAGUGGCUAAAAUCUGGACGCUGUCAGCAAGAGAACAUACAAGCCAACCACAAGCGCCUGUGACAGGGUGUUCCUCUUCCUCUGAUAGUGGUUCUCAACCCAGCCACACCACCAGUUCAUCUGGGCAGCUUUAAAACAUGCAGCCUGGGUUCCAGUUCCAGAGCCAUGAGCCAGCCUUCCUCCAGACCCUGAGACCUGGAGCUUUCAGCCUGACGUCUGGCACAGCCUCAGACGCAGUGAUCAUGGAGCAUUCUCUGGGAAGAUGGGCCUCAAUUUUGUCCUGCCCUAGCCUGGAAAACACAGAGAACUCUGAAGAUAGCCUAGCCUGAGUUCACCAGAGCCAUGGGGAGGAGCCAGCCCAGGUGAGUGCCAUUUCUGCUUCUGGAAGGGGCCUCAGCUCACCCUGCUCUCACUCUGGAGUCCUGGGAGGCCACGGCCACAGCCAGCAGGCAUCCAUCUUAUCUGGGAAGGGGUAGCUCAAUCAGGGUCAACAGAUAAUCUCCCAGAACAGGACUCUGUCAAAGCCUCUAAAAAAAGCUGCUGGGGGGUUGAAUAUGGAGUUUUCUGUACCAACCUGGACCCCACCUGAGGGUCCUCACCUGAGAAUCCAGGCUUCAUUCUCAUUCAUGGAGCUGAUCUGCCUGAAAUGUCGUCAUAUUAGUCAGGGCUUUCCAGAGACACAGAGCCAACAGGAUGUGUGCAUAUACAGAAGGAG